RNAcentral lists this long non-coding RNA (256 nucleotides) under Nicotiana benthamiana. RNAcentral's name for it is "long non-coding RNA (NBEN_LNC001349)". The record is from RNAcentral. Lineage: Eukaryota; Viridiplantae; Streptophyta; Magnoliopsida; Solanales; Solanaceae.
CUUAAUCCUCUUUGAGAUGGAAAGAACCCCUCUGGAGUGCCAUUCACAAGAAUGGAGAAUCUAACAUUAUUAAUGCAGAAGUGAAUCCACUUAAUCCAUUUACAGCCAAAACCCAUAUCUUUCAAAAGCUUGAUAAGGGAAUUCCAAUUUACGUGAUCGAAAGCUUUUUCCAUAUCAAGUUUGCACAACACCUCUGGAUCUUUCCCCCUAAUUCUGGAGUCAACACAUUCAUUAGCUAUUAAAGCUGCAUCCAUGA